AUGGCCCCUCCACACUUGGGGGUUGACAUUCACAUGUGUAAAUUUAAUGACAAGGGUGUCUCUGUGUUUGCAGGUGUCCAGUGUGAGGAGCAGCUGGUGGAGUCUGGGGGAGGCUUGGUCCAGCCUGGGGGGUCUCUGAGACUCUCCUGUGCGGCCUCUGGAUUCACCUUCAGUGACUACUACAUGCACUGGGCCCGCCAGGCUCCGGGGAAGGGGCUGGAGUGGGUAGGUUUAAUUAGAACCAAAGCCAAUGGUGGGACAGCAGAAUACGCCGCGUCUGUGAAAGGCCGAUUCACCAUCUCAAGAGAUGAUUCCAAGAACUCGCUGUAUCUGCAAAUGAGCAGCCUGAGAGCCGAGGACACGGCCGUGUAUUACUGUGGGAGACACAGUGAGGGGAGGCCCGUGUGAACCCGGACACAAACCUCCUGCAGGGGCGCGCGGGGCCACUGAGGACGGGACAUGCCCCGGGAGCAGGUGCAGGGGGAGGGUCCUCUUUCUCAGAGGCAAGAAGCGGAUUUCUUUUUGCAGGACUCUGGAGUCCUAUAAGUUUACAGUAUUUUAUUAUUUUUAGUUAUAAUAUAUUUAUAAUAUACAUAUAUAAUAUU
This is a non-coding RNA of Cebus imitator (Panamanian white-faced capuchin), 605 nucleotides long. NCBI's taxonomy places the organism in Eukaryota, Metazoa, Chordata, Mammalia, Primates, Cebidae. The record is from the annotation of a RefSeq genome assembly.